Molecule: ribosomal RNA, 664 nt
Filed under: uncultured Enterobacter sp.
Lineage: Bacteria; Pseudomonadati; Pseudomonadota; Gammaproteobacteria; Enterobacterales; Enterobacteriaceae
Description: bacterial SSU rRNA
Rfam family: Bacterial small subunit ribosomal RNA
Source: RNAcentral
UGCAGUCGAGCGGUAACACAGGGAGCUUGCUCCUGGGUGACGAGCGGCGGACGGGUGAGUAAUGUCUGGGAAACUGCCUGAUGGAGGGGGAUAACUACUGGAAACGGUAGCUAAUACCGCAUAACGUCGCAAGACCAAAGAGGGGGACCUUCGGGCCUCUUGCCAUCAGAUGUGCCCAGAUGGGAUUAGCUAGUAGGUGGGGUAACGGCUCACCUAGGCGACGAUCCCUAGCUGGUCUGAGAGGAUGACCAGCCACACUGGAACUGAGACACGGUCCAGACUCCUACGGGAGGCAGCAGUGGGGAAUAUUGCACAAUGGGCGCAAGCCUGAUGCAGCCAUGCCGCGUGUAUGAAGAAGGCCUUCGGGUUGUAAAGUACUUUCAGCGGGGAGGAAGGUGUUGAGGUUAAUAACCUCAGCAAUUGACGUUACCCGCAGAAGAAGCACCGGCUAACUCCGUGCCAGCAGCCGCGGUAAUACGGAGGGUGCAAGCGUUAAUCGGAAUUACUGGGCGUAAAGCGCACGCAGGCGGUCUGUCAAGUCGGAUGCGAAAUCCCCGGGCUCAACCUGGGAACUGCAUUCGAAACUGGCAGGCUAGAGUCUUGUAGAGGGGGGUAGAAUUCCAGGUGUAGCGGUGAAAUGCGUAGAGAUCUGGAGGAAUACCGG